GCCUCUGUGGCUCAGUUGGUUGAGCAUCAACUUAUGAACUGGGAGGCCAAAGUUCGAUUCUUGGUCAGGGACA
Molecule: non-coding RNA, 73 nt
Organism: Myotis davidii
Lineage: Eukaryota; Metazoa; Chordata; Mammalia; Chiroptera; Vespertilionidae
Source: Rfam